This is a long non-coding RNA of Anas platyrhynchos (mallard), 4598 nucleotides long. RefSeq lists it as uncharacterized. The record is from RefSeq and is a predicted model, not a curated record. Lineage: Eukaryota; Metazoa; Chordata; Aves; Anseriformes; Anatidae.
GGCUUGCAGAGACACAAAUCGCUCUUUAUUUUCUCCUUCCAGGUCCCAUGUUUACUAACCUCAUGAGAGGAGCCACGGAUGCGCCACGGGUCCAUGCACAGACAUGCACAGCACCUUACGUGGUUUUCAGAAGGGCAACAGCGUUUUCGCUUGUGCCUGAGCAAAGCGUGAGGAAAAGGACUCUCUCUGGGAUAAGUGUUGGUUUGACGCAGGACGACGGGGAGCGCGGGGUGAUGUCGACAGGGGAGCCGCUCCCGCAUCGCGUUCCUGCGUCUCCUUCUCCCACGCCUUGCCUGCCCUACCUCUCUGGGCGCUCACGGGCAGCGAAGGCUUGCUCCACCCUCCUAAGGGGAGAAUAAACAUCACAGACUCCUGGAAAUGACCAAAGAUGUCUGCUGAGAAGAAUGGAGCAAGACAGCUUAAAAAGACUCUUUGGGGAUAUCAUCACUUGGUCUUGAAAACAAAGCAAAAUCAUGCAAAUUAAGUGAAUAUGUGGGAAGUUUUAAAAAUCCGCCAGCCUAGUGAUAACACUACUGUAAGAGCAGCAGGUCUGCUUACCUUUAAAUGAAGGCAACCAUUCAGUGCUCCCCCCAGGUACUAUUUGCUGACAGCAGAGAGACUUAUCCUUAGCAGAGGAGAAUCCAUCUUUGUAAAAAAGUCUCUUUCUUCCUUGAUUUCUUCUGCUUGGUCUGGCAGAAACUAGGCUAGUUUCUAGUUUCUAGUUCCUACUAGGCAGGAAAAAAAUAAUUACCGUAUUUGUCGCCGAUUAGCUUUCAUCCUUCAGGGAGUUAUGUUUGGAGCAGUAUGUUCUGUUCUUCCUUUGCUGGGUAUGUUUCUUUGGGAAAGGAGAAGAUAGUCACCACUGAUGACUUAGCAUUCCUUGUGUAUAUGGAAAUAAACAUACAAAUAGAUCAGAACAGAGAAACACUGGUUCUGGGUUUCUUCCAAGCGGAAGUAAAAGUAGGAGCUCCAAUUUAAUUUUGUCUCUUUUAAGCAGUAUUGACAUGACUUUGGAAUUUGACUUUUAUUUAUUUAUUUAUUUAUUUAUUUAUAAUUUUCAGUUGUUCUUUAUGCAUUCUUUCAAACAAUGUGGACACAAGCACUGCAAAACCCUGCAUAGACAAAAGUCCAGCAAUUUCAUGGCUAUUUGCCUAACUGUGCUUGUGAUGAACUCCCUGUGUGCACUGCAAUUCUUACUGAAGGUAUUGAUUUUAUAGUUUCACUGAAGGAGAGCUUUAAACUUGCUCCAUGUGAGGUUACCACAUUGGGUAUGCCACUUGCUUUCCUGGGGACCUUUAAUGAGACGUUCUCCCAUAAUAGCUGCAUCAGUGGUAGUGUAGGUACUCAGUCUAGAAAACAAAGCAAUGCCAGAGAGCUGUAAGCUACCAAAGCAUAUGCAGAUUUCUAUGUAUCCAAAGGUUUAGCUGAAUACAGAGCCAUGAAUGCAGAAUCCAGAAAACAGUCAAGAAAGUCUAGCACAUGCCCAGCUACUUUUUGUGGCAUCUGUAUAGCAGAACAGCUUGGAGUCCAAGUAAUCCUGCUCAUCUUCCAUUGCUUACCUAUAUGGCACCUAGAAAAUCACUCCAUCUCUGUGGCUAACUUUUAUGUGUAAAUGUUGGGCUCAUAGGCCCCUAAGACAGAAGGAGAAAGGCUGCUUAAUUUGUGACAUGCUUGAAAUACAUAAAGCCACAUGCCAAAUGCUGCUGUGCACCCUGUACACGAGCCUUGCCUUCUGCAGUUUCAGGGCAGUCAUUUUUGGAGUGUCUGAAGAAAGGCUGUGAGACAAGUAAUGUGCAAACUGGGAGCUGAACUGAGCUUAACACAGCAGACACAGCAGCCAUCUUCCACAAUCAGUAAGUAGGUUACCGAAUUGCAUUAAAUUCUCACUGAACAGUUCUUUGAUUAAACAUUUAAUACAGUCCUCAAGCAUACGUAUAUGGAGUUACACCAUUAAUGACAAUUCUUCUGUUUCAGCUUGAAUGCAUCUGUCAGAUCUGAUUGGAAAAUCAUGUUAGCUUUUUCUAUUUGAUUGAGCGUGCUUCAGUUUAGCUGCUGAAGGCUACCAAUUUUCUCACCACAGUUUAGCUGUAUAUGAGGUAAUGCUGGGAAUCUGUAGUUUCAGUUUAGUCUUACAGUCAGUUACCAUUAUCAGUUGCUGUAUCUAUAUAGAUAUGUAUUUUUAACCCCAACGAAGAACAAAGGAUAAAGUUUUCUGAGAUACAGGCAACUCACACUCACAAGGAUGUGAAUUAUUCCAUGUAGGGGAGUUGGGGGUGCACUUAGGUGAAUUAUUCUAACAUACAGAAAUCUCGGAAUAUGAAAUUUUAAUUUCCCUUAGCCCAUGGACACCAAGGGCUUAUUGCUUUCUACAUUUUUUUUUUUUGUAAUUCAAUCAUCUUGCCAUCUGAUUGCAAAGAGAGCUUUGCUAGCUGAGAGUGCAGUGAAUGUUUCUGGAUUUUUCACUUAGUAGCUGUGCCUGCCUUACCUUUGAGAAAGUAACACAGGGAGGGGAGGUAGGGGGGUCAAGACGUAUUUUAAAAGCUGACUCGCAAAGAAUUUUUGUUAAAUUAGUUUUGUCUUGCUUUUGUAAAGUCCACGAAUUUUUGAGGAAAUGAAAAGCACUAGGAGUUUUCAUUCCCUUUAACCCACUCUCCUUUGUAGAUCAUCUUGAAAAUUAAUUAUCGGGAGUACCAUGCCUGAUCUUCCUGAGCUUGCUGGUGCACUACUGGGAAUACAAGGAGCCGGAUGCUGUUCACCAGCUAUUGUCAAGCCCAAGUCAGGAGUCACCAUAUAAAUGCUCCAGACUAUCACACUUUAAAACACAUUUUUUUUCAUUAUGUUUACCUUACUCAUUAAUUAUAUCAAUUACUAGGGUGAUAUUUUCAAACUGUUGCAAAAAGCUAAGACCUUUCUUCUACCUAAUCACAUAAGCUCAGGCACUGGGGCUAUCAAAAAGCAGGAAGCAGGAUAGAGUUGCUCCCUGGACUGGCUCAAAAAUUCACCAGAGUGGUGGGGAAGUAGUUUGACUUUAACCACAGCAUUGUUUCUCCAGAAUAUUCAUUAAAUGUUAGAAGUGUAAGUAUCGUACAAGAGAUGAAAAAACAUAGGAUGAAGUUUUAGCCUAUGUCCAGUUUGCACUCCACUUUUGAAUAUGAACUAUUUUGCUUUCCAUUUCUUACCAGAUUGUUUUAAAAGCAUGUAUUAGAGCUGCAGGCUUUGCUGCCACACUGACAAUAUGCAGCUCUGGAGACAGAGUGAAGGGCAGAGGGUUGAGUUUUGAGACUGAGCCUGAAUCACAGCCAAAACUCUGUUGGAAGGGAAAGUACUAGCAGUAGAUCUAAUUGAAGGCAUUCAGUAUUUUUUGUACAAUGAAUGGUUGGAUGGUGCUUAGCAUUAGAAUUUCUUUACUAUGCUGCUUUAUUUAUUUAUUUAUUUAUUUAUUUAUUUAUUUAUUUAUUUAUUUAUUUAUUAGUUUACAGUAGUGUACCGAACAUGCCUUAUUGUCCAGUUAGCUUGUUUGCAGCCUAUUUUGCAAGCAAAAUAAGCUUUAGUAAAAUACUGAAUGCAUAAUAUGUGUACAAUAUCUGCCCAUGCAAACAUGCACUUUGAGAGCUUGUACUUACUGCUGAAAUGUUUACGUUGCAUAAAUCAGACACUGUUAAGUCUUCCCUACACAUUUGAGAUGUGUUUGGUCUCAGUCUGUGUUCUGCUUUGUGUUUGGUGGUGUUUCUAGCUCUUUUUUUUGUGUGUGUGUGUGACUAGAAAUACAUUCCUACUACAUUUUUUUGGGGGAGGGAGGACAUGGUCAAAAUGUUCUGCUCUAUAAGUAAAAUUAUUUUCUGCUUGAAUAAUUUCAGGCAGAAAUGUGUGUUAUGAUUAGGUCUGCAGAUGUAGCUGAUGGUGAAAGCAAACGUCUCCCACAGUAAAACAACACUGAUCAGGCAAUCAAAUUUGGUGUUACAAGGUAAAAAUAUUUUAAUCCUCAAUGAAAAUGUUUUCUAUGCAAGAAUCUCUAAGCUCAAAAUUGACUUCUAAAAACACUUCUACUGUUCUUAGCUAUCAUAAUUAGUCAUAAACAAGGAGAUACCACAUGGUCAGAAAAGGCCUACUGUGAUACCGGGUUGGUUUCUAAAAGCACAUGACCUUGGACUUAAGAUAUAGUAGGUUUAUUUUUAACAUGAGCACACAGAUGUUUUCUGUAAAUAGAGUAAUGAAAGGGAUUUACUUUGUAGUUUAUCAAAUGGUUGCCGAAAUGUGAGUAGGUGGAACAAUAAGUGUGCUUUAAUAUCAAGUAUUUUAGGACAAGCUUGGCCAAAACAUUUUGUCUUGUCACAAAAUGUUUUAAAACAACUUCAAAUUGAUAAUACAGCACUGCUGGUGUUCUUGUGAUUUGUAUAAGGCAUAUACAGACAGAACAAGACAUUUUAUAGGACAUGGGUAGCUUAGGUGGUUUUAAAUGAUAAAGAAAGCAUGUUAUGGUGUAGUGCAGAAUGAAACUGUUUCCACCUGAGGAGAUCUUUCUGUAAACUGUCCUUUUCUUUUAGACCAGAUAAACUGUUAAUGUUUUUGUCAUUAAAACUUCACUUUGUCAGACUUAU